RNAcentral lists this transfer RNA (69 nucleotides) under Rivulus cylindraceus (green rivulus). RNAcentral describes it as "tRNA-Ala". It matches the Rfam family "tRNA". From Rfam's summary of the family: Transfer RNA (tRNA) molecules are approximately 80 nucleotides in length. The record is from RNAcentral. Lineage: Eukaryota; Metazoa; Chordata; Actinopteri; Cyprinodontiformes; Rivulidae.
GAGGCUUUAGCUUAGUUAAAGCGUCUGUUUUGCAUGCAGAAGAUGUGGGUUAAACUCCCGUAAGUCUUA